GGAGGCUCUUCUUGCAGUUCCCUUCUCCUCCCUCACGUGCCCUCUGUGAUGCCGGGAGCCGGAAUAUGACGUCAUUCCGGCCCAGGAAUACUAAACAGCACGCUACAGGAGUGAGGAGCUGCCUUACACUGGACCCCAGGCAGGCUGGAUGUCUGAGUCUGUGUGUCAGUGAGUGUUUGACUGUCAGCAAGUGUGUUUGUGUCUGUCAGUGAGUAUGUAUGUCAG
Molecule: non-coding RNA, 225 nt
Organism: Pelobates cultripes (western spadefoot toad)
Lineage: Eukaryota; Metazoa; Chordata; Amphibia; Anura; Pelobatidae
Source: the annotation of a GenBank genome assembly